GUAGGUGGCAAGCGUUGUCCGGAAUUAUUGGGCGUAAAGCGCGCGCAGGCGGUUCUUUAAGUCUGAUGUGAAAGCCCACGGCUCAACCGUGGAGGGUCAUUGGAGACUGGAGAACUUGAGUACAGAAGAGGAAAGCGGAAUUCCACGUGUAGCGGUGAAAUGCGUAGAGAUGUGGAGGAACACCAGUGGCGAAGGCGGCUUUCCGGUCUGUAACUGACGCUGAGGCGCGAAAGCGUGGGGAGCAAACAGGGAUUAGAUACCCUGGUAGUCCACGCCGUAAACGAUGAGUGCUAAGUGUUAGGGGGUUUCCGCCCCCUUAGUGCUGCAGCUAACGCAUUAAGCACUCCGCCUGGGGAGUACGGCCGCAAGGCUG
RNAcentral lists this ribosomal RNA (373 nucleotides) under uncultured organism. Its description in RNAcentral is "partial 16S ribosomal RNA". It matches the Rfam family "Bacterial small subunit ribosomal RNA", at positions 527 to 896 of the family's 1533-position model. The record is from RNAcentral.